This is a non-coding RNA of Salmo salar (Atlantic salmon), 247 nucleotides long. The record is from RefSeq and is a predicted model, not a curated record. Lineage: Eukaryota; Metazoa; Chordata; Actinopteri; Salmoniformes; Salmonidae.
CAGCAAAAAAGAGGUGUGCCAGGUUCUGGAAAAUAACCUGAAAGAGGGGCUCGAAACCAUUGGUCAAUCUAUGGAUGAGGCUUAUGAAGCUUUUGAACGAUGCCUCUCAGAAGGAGUUCGACAGUCAGUAGAAACGUGAGAAAAUUGCCAAGGAUAAAGUGAUAGAACCAAAGGGAAGAAAUGGCAGAGGGUAUCAUAAGGUAUUGAAGUCCUUAUGCAAGAAUAACGGAGUUUACAAACCAAUCAG